UCCUCGUUAGCUCAGUUGGUAGAGCGUUCGGCUUUUAAGCAAGAACGAGGAACCGAAAUGUCAGGGGUUCGAGCCCCCUACGAGGAG
This is a non-coding RNA of Zygosaccharomyces rouxii, 87 nucleotides long. The record is from Rfam. Lineage: Eukaryota; Fungi; Ascomycota; Saccharomycetes; Saccharomycetales; Saccharomycetaceae.